AGUGAACGCUGGCGGCAGGCCUAACACAUGCAAGUCGAGCGGCAGCGCGGGGGCAACUCUGGCGGCGAGCGGCGGACGGGUGAGGAAUUCGUCGGAAUCUGCCUUUUUGUGGGGGAUAACGUAGGGAAACUUACGCUAAUACCGCAUACGUCCUACGGGAGAAAGUGGGGGACCGCAAGGCCUCCCGCACAAAGAUGAGCCGACGACCGAUUAGCUAGUUGGCGGGGUAAAGGCCCACCAAGGCGACGAUCCGUAGCUGGUCUGAGAGGAUGAUCAGCCACACUGGGACUGAGAAACGGUCCAGACUCCUACGGGAGGCAGCAGUGGGGAAUAUUGGACAAUGGGGGCAAGCCUGAUCCAGCCAUACCGCGUGGGGGAAGAAGGCCUUCGGGUUGUAAAGCCCUUUUGUUCGGAAAGAAAACCCGCGGGUUAAUACCCUGCGGGGAUGACGGUACCGGAAGAAUAAGCACCGGCUAACUUCGUG
This 484-nucleotide ribosomal RNA is filed under the name uncultured bacterium. RNAcentral's name for it is "partial 16S ribosomal RNA". It matches the Rfam family "Bacterial small subunit ribosomal RNA", at positions 30 to 507 of the family's 1533-position model. The record is from RNAcentral.